AGUAGGACGCUAUAAAUGGUUUUCUAUAAUGUUUUCUCUUGUUCAAAUCUGUUACUUAUAUUGUUUUAUGAGAAUUCAUUUUAAACUUGUUUAUAAAGGAUUUCCAAAGGUUUUCCAACUUAUUUUACAAAAGAAUACCCUGUCGGGAUUUCUCAAGUAUAAAAGUUCUCUUUCAUGUUGUAUACUUUUACUUGUUAGUUACCGCUGCUUCGCUUUCACUUAGUUUAAACUCCUACUUGAUAACGCUUUCACUUCGUGAUGCGUUUAUACCUGUUAUUGCCUCUAUUUCGCUUACACUUGUAGUCGCUUAUACCUGUUAGACGCUCUUACUUCACCAGUUGUCGUUUCCACUUCGUGGUACACUUAUAUUUGGUACACUUAUACUUCACGAUUCGGUUAUUCCACACGAUUCGGUUAAUCCACACGAUACGUUUCCACUUGUUACACACUCAGUCGUAGUUAGAUGUAUGUCUGUGCUUGUAUAGGUACAUAUAAAUAAUGAUUGAAGGACUUAGGAAGGCUCGUCCGCCCUAUUUCCUUUUCUUCGUUGAGAUGUGGUCUGGUGGGAUCGGAUGGCCGUCCGAAGGUCGUUUGGUUCAUUAGUUAUAUAUUAUGUAUGCGAGCAUAGACAUAUAGGUUUACUCUAGUCAUUUCAGUUAUGAGUCUCUACCUCUAGUUCAACACUUAUAUUGGAAACCCACUACCGACUAGAAACCUACUACCCACUAUUUGGAAGUCACUACCCACUAUUUGGGAUGCAUCUUCGGGACACGGCCUUCUCCGUCGUCUAGUUGGUAACCAAAGUCUCCUGUAGGGAGAGUGGACAUUGUGUGUAUAGAUCUAUACGGGAUUGACACCCCCGCACCCAGACUACUAGCUACAGUCCCGGCCUACCAAGCCAACAGGUGACAAAUGUCAUAUUUUAUAGACGCUUGUAGGGCGUCUGGUACUCUAGUCAGUAUGGUUAUGAGUAUCCCGGGUUACCUUAUAAUUCAUGGCUUUAAGGUAACGGUAUUUUACCAGCAAUUUACACUGUGUGCUGGAAACCCUCUUUCAGAGUCACACUGUUUGUAGACCUCGUUAGCUUUAUCUUUCAUUUGAUACUGUCUGGGGUUUGUACCCUCUGCUUUUAGACCUUGCUAGCCGUACCUCUCAUUUGGUACCGCCUGAGGUCUGUGUCUCCUUUUGUUAUACUGAGCCAGGCGUGUCGUUCAUUCGAUAUUUUCCUGGAGUCUAUGAUUCCUCUUGCCUUAGUCAGCAGUCUUCACUGCUGAGGCAUAUCUCAUUUCCCUGAUAUCUCCUACUUUCUUUAACAAUCAAAUUCUGUAUUUUGAUAAUGAUAACGUCUAAGGGAAAACUACUUUUUACCACAAUUACUCCGUCCAGUCUUGAUAGAAGGCUGCUUUUAUUAAGGAAAAUAUAGGAUUUCUGGAAAGAACUCUAAUACACUGUGAAUUCUUAAACUGCUACUUUUUAUAAAGUUAUUUGAAUAAAAUGACACUAAAUACUUAUGAACUCACAAGCAUUUGUAAAAAUAUUGAUACUCGCUUUUCAAAUAACUUGUAUUCUCAGGUCAGCUUUAGACAGGUACAUUCCCGGAGCUGUUGAUGAAGAUAGCUUAGUACCAAGUUGUACUUAUUAUACUUACUUGUAUUACUUUGAUGUAUUGUAAUGUAAACCAUGUAAAACUAUUACUAUUAAUGCAAUGUUUUGUUGUACUUUGAUUACUAUAAUGCAUGUGUUGUGAUACUUGACAUGACGUCAUCCACCCCAGAACGUUUCCGCCGUUCCGGUUUUGGGGUGUGACAGAUUAGUAUUAGAGCAUUGUUUAUAGUGAGCUAAGUAUAUCAAUUCAUAAAAGAUAUACAGCCUAUAAAUACAAAGGGAUAAAACACUCUGACCAUGAAUUAUACUUUAAAAAUAUAACCAUAUUUUACCAAAGUAUAAGAACAUCCAGAAUCUAAACACUCGUACACAAGUAUCACAAGAAGAACAAUAAUAAAAGUCUUCGGAUGUUGGGCAUUACCGUCAAACCUGGGCAGUUAUGUAAUCAAAAGUUGGAAUAAAUGUAACCUGAUCAACUACAUUUAUUCGAGAUGCGAUGAACAUGUGCUUGGGAGUGAUAGUGGUGUGCAACAGGUCUGAAACUUACCAACUAGGAAUGCUAGAGCCAAACAUAAAGUCAUAAUACUAUAGGAGUAUUUUGGAACACUAAAAGACUCCCAUUAAUUCCAGAAUCAUAUUCAGAAGAUAAGAAACAAACAAGAACAUUAAAAUACCAUAGGGGUAUUUUAGGAUCCAUAAACAACCUUGUGUGAAGAACUAAAAAGAUCCUUAUUGAUAUACCUACAAUUACAGAGAGUAUACUCCCAAGGUUAUAUAUGAUAAGGAUCCCAUAGGCUAAGAAUGUGUGGUUUCCCCCUACUUCCUUUUCCUUGUUUGGAUGUGGACUUAGAGUAGUAUCACAUAUUCGAAGGCCUAUCGGAUCUACGUUAUAUAUGACUUGUAUACCCUGUGUAAUCGUAGCAGGACUCGAUAUGGAUCACCUAGUGAAAUGUUAAUAAUCUCUUAGGAUUCUUUAGACAUUUCCAUUCUCGCACGAACCCUAUAGAAAGCCCUAUCCACUUCAGCACUCGGCAGAAGAGUUGAUUCAGACCCAAAGGAAGUUCAUUGAGAAGAUUUCCAGUUCGGAAAUAAAUGAACUGGGACGAGACUAUUGAAAUCACCAAGUGACUAUAUCUUUUUAGGGACAUCGGUGAGGAGUUUGCCUAAACUUCCGAGAUUCCCAGUCACCCAUUAUGAGGUGAUGACACCCAUAGUCGGAAUCCGGAAGCAAGGCGGAGUAGAGAUUCAAUAUGUCCAUACGAGGAGAGAACCCUAGGUAACUACUCGAAGGAAACCAACGCCGAUACCAGUCAAAGAUACGAGGCAGACAGAGGGAGCCAGUACAUGGAACCCGAGAAUUGUCUUUUCCUCGUAUUCGUCAUGCUAAUACACCCAUAAAAUAAUACAAUUUAGUGAGUUAGUGGUUACACUACUCACGCUAUGUGUUAGGUAAAUCGCCAUUUCCCGUUGCCAGUAACAUGAUUAGAGCAUAUCCCCGCACCUCUAUUGAGGGUAUUUAGCCAUAAGCCUUCAUGAGCCUUUCUUACCACAGUCUUCGUUCCGAACUGUUCUCAAAUCUCUCCAGGUCGGAGAGUGAAACCUUUCCCAGUAUAAAGGUAACGUAGUAGGAACGAUUCCCAUCUUAUGGCCUUUUUCCGAUACUCAUACUCCUACCAUGAUUACCAGGACUACAUCAUAGGGAUGUAGGUCGACACUCAGACAACCAGUACCCGAGGCACGGGAAAAAUCUAUGGCUAAAACAGUCAGGACAGAAAUGUCCAGGGUUAGCCAUCGUCUCUCAUUACCUUGUAUUCCUUUCCGUGUAGGAAAACCAUGCCUCCAAAAAAGUGUAACCAAUCCGCAAGCAAGAAACCUUCUCUCUUGUUCGAUGAGGCUACGUUCCAAGCUGCAGUCUCGGCAGUCGUAGCAGUUGUCAUGGCUCACCUGAAUGCUAACAACGCUAAUGUUAGCAAGGGCCCUAUUGGGGAUUCCAUUCCUAACAAUGGACAACAACAAUCAACUCCCGUAUACCCAGCCACCCAAGAACCUCAACCGAACCCACUAAAGAGAAAACUCAAGAUCGAGGAGGGAGGUACCUCGGCUCAAGGACCUUCCGAAGGGCAACAAGCUGAGGCAACCCCUGUCAAUCCUUCCCUCCCGACUUCAAGAAGACCGUACCUAGGAGACCUUCCCCACUGCAGCAAGUGUAGUUACCAUCAUCAUGGUGUCUGUCGGGAACUCUUAUGUGCUAGGUGCAACAUGAAGGGGCAUACUGCCCGUGUAUGCAGAACUUCGGUGGAGCGUAUUGCAUCAAUCACCAAGGUGACGGCCAAUCCAGUUUGCCGACUAUGUGGUGAGAUUGGACACUUCAAAAGGGACUGCCCAACCGAAGGAAACGACAAAGACACAGGAGGAGUCUGAAUCUACUGCUUAGGGAAAAGCAUCAAGUAACCCGGUAGAUUUUUGGUACGCCCUUCAAUCUCAGAUAACUAACUAAAAACAUUAAAAGACUAAUUCAAAUGUAAAAUUUUUCCUAGUAAGGCGAAAGUCACAGCACUGUUAUAAAAUUUAAAAUCCAUCAGGUAAAACUAUAAUGGCUAAACAUAUGUGUUACGGCCAUGUAUAGUUAAGAUGGAUAGACCUAGAGUGAGUGAAUGCCGCCUCAUUUCCUGUUCCUCGUUUGGUUGUGGAUUAAGGGCGGAGUCGCUCAGUCGACAGUCCUCCCCACCUUAAUUAUACAUGACUAGUAUAUGUUAAGUGAUUAUAGAAAUGCCUCGUGAAAAUCCAUUCAUGAAAAGGUACUCUACUCAGAAACACUUAGGACUACCUAUAGUUCCGCGUCGACUCUAUCGGUCCCAGUAUCCGUGACAGUGAUACAUAGGACGAAACCUUAGACGCCUAGAACUUGUGUGCCUGUUCGGCACAUGACUCUAUCGAUCUCCAUUUUAUAUCAUGUCGAAGCGUGCCAACUUCGACGACUCUAUCGAUCAUGGUUCGACUUCAUGCAACCAUGUGUAAACCGCUAGUGCUGUGUAAAAAGAACUUUCUCCGUAGCCAUUCUAGCAAAUAAAGGCUCUUUCGAACCUAAACAUAAAACAAAUAAUCAAACUUAAUACGAUCCGCCAGUCGUCCCUCUUAUCUCAAACCUUCUGAAGUACCCAAGAGAAGGGUACCAAGUGCUGUUAACCGACCCCUCUUAGUCAUAUGGAAAUCCGAAGCGAAAGACACUGCAGAUACUCCAGAAGACAAUGGCCACCCGAAGCACACACCAUAGAUCCCCCAGAAAGGCCCUUCGCACCUCGCACAUUAGGUUCGUGAACCCAGAGGAUAGAACUCAUGGGACUGACCACUAUAACCAAGUAUAUGCAUAAAGGUGGUAUAUAAUUGAGAUUAAAAAGAUUUAAGGUGUGUGUUUCCUCCCUACUCCCUGUUCCUCGUUGGGUUGUGGGUUUGGGGUGGAGUCGUACAGCUGAACAUCCUGCCGACCUCAAUUAUAUAUGGCUUGCAUACACCAAGUAUUAGUGGUUAAGCCAAGUAUGAGCUCUACCACGAACCUCAUAGUAAAACCCUUCAUUCUAGUCCGCAGAAUAGGAGCCAGAGACAAGAAAACCACAGUGGGUUGAGCUACUAUGAUGACCACAAAUCCAAAAUAUGUUGACAUCCCAGUUUAGCCAGCUUAGUAGCUAGCACCCGCAAUGGGUAAAGGCACCCGAGUCGUAAGAGUCAAGGACAUUAACUACGACCAUCCAUUCACGCUUAAUCCCCCGAAUUAAGCAUCGCAGCGGAUAUCCCAGAAAUCCGAAAGCGGCGAUAAUGUUAAACACUCAGAAGAAUGGAUGAAGAGAUUAACGUUCCAAAUAAUGGAACCCAAUACUCACUAGAUUUGACCUAGACAGAGGAAACUCAGAACCUUCAGAAGAGUAGUUGCAGCAGAUGCUCGCACUACUUAGGCACUUCAUCCACCCGUUACUGACGAGUAGUGCCUAGGAUCCUCCACCCUCUCGCAUGGAGGAAAUCGUCGUUGCCCUAUAGACGAUCGACUUCAUUCUCCGAAGUAAACACUAGGAUACCGAGAACCAUAGGAUAACCUCCGUAGCCAUGAAUGCUUGAUCAAAGUGCGAAAGUAGUUGCGUUAAGCCUCAUGACCCAGGUCCCGAAGAGAUUAUAGACUUGACACCAGCCUUGGUGUUAGUCGAGGGGUUAUGCAGGAGCAUGCGCUUUCCGCACUAGAAUAAACCAAAGUCAUAUGAGAUUCAUCGGACUAUCAGGUGUUCCACGAAUACUAUCUCACGCAGAAAUAGUAGAACCACCUCCCGAGAUAGUCCAACACUCAUCUGGUGAAACCCUAACUCCCUGACCCUGAGGGUUUCCGUUAGAAAUAUCUCAAGCAUCAGAAGUUCAGGUUCAUUAUGUAUGAGCUUGAGAUAGACACCCUACAACAAUCGGAUAACCUUAGUCACACAACCCAUUCGACGAUCUAGAAAGCCUCUAAAGGCCAAUGGACAGGAAACACGAAACCAAAGACAACCCGAGCUUCCUGAGAACCAACCUGAAGGACUACACUUCCAGUAUUAGAGAGAACAUUUAGAACUUCGGAAUGACGAUCACACCAGUGAUGAUCUCGCAUUAGAAGUACACUAUGUUCUAAGUACCAAAAAGUUCUACCCUUCCGAGAGCUUAGAACCAUCCGAGAUCCUCACAGAGAUUUGGUCCAACCCUCGUCAGACCACUACUACCUUCGGAAAAUCCACAAGUUUCACACCCGAUCGAACCACUUCCUAGACUUGAUAAGUGCUUACCCGACAUCACUUUUCGUACCCCACUCAUCUUGAUAGAAAUCAUUGAGAAACCUAACCUCGUAGAUACACUAGUCGGAACCCACUAGCUACACGAGACGGAAAUCCGCAUCCCUUAGGUGAAGGUUUGUUGGAAUGACAAACACAGACCAGAGUUCACCGGGGAAUGCGAGGACAAACCAAAUAGGAAGUACCCUCCUGCCUCUAUCAUCCAUACCUACUUCCUUGCCUAGACCUGAAUUUCGGGACGAAAUUCCCUCUAACGGGGGGAUGAUGUGACAACCCAAGCUUAUUCCGUUACAUUACCCCGUUACCGUUAACAGAAUAUUCCAUUUUAUAAAAGGUCUGUUAGUUAGAGGUCGCCAAAUAAAUAAAUGUUUUUAUUUAUAAUACAUGUCGUUAUAGUCGUAAUAAAGUAAAUAAAAACACUUAAAUUACAUUUCCAUAGUAAUUUAGAAAAAGUUAGUUUUUAUUAUUACGACCACUAAAUCGGGUGCGACCAAAAGCCCCGUUUAACGGCAGUAUUGGGUAGAUUUCCACUGAGCUUCAACUCCAACCCCUAUAUAAGGGGGAGUAAACUCCAUUUCAACCUUUUUUCACCCUCUCUCUCUAUACUCUCUCUCUAGGCUCGUUUUCGACUCAAAUCCGCAACCAAACGCUUCCAAAUUCUAAAUCCACUUACCCUAGCUUGUUCUAAACAUUAUUGGUUGUGUUUGUAACCCGGAAAUCGACCAUUUAAGCUGUGGAAAAGGAGUUUACGGCCUAAGAUCCUCCUUAGGCCGUAAACCCCUUAAAUGAGGCCAAAAUGACCCAAACUUGUCCCAUUGAGCCUAGGAACCAAUUAAGGAAUUUGUCUAGGAGUGUUUAAUCAUCAAAACAUAAGAUUUUAGGGCAUAAAAGAGAGUUUACGGCCCAAGCACAUGCUUAGGCCGUAAACACCACUUAACCUUGCAAAAAUGCCCCAAACACACUCCCAAACCACCCUUAGGCUUAAUACAUAAAUUAGGGACAUGCUAUUUCGGGUUUAGAACAUUUAAGCACAUAGAAUUGAGGGGCAAAAAGGAUUUUACGACCCAAGCACAUGCUUAGGCCGUAAACACCCCCAAACCAUGCCAAAUGUUAGUUUUAAUUCCCCCAAAUGGCCUCAUCCAUCAUUAUAAAAUGCUAGAAGUGAAAUAGGGACUUUAAACUGCAAUAAAACUAAGGGUAUAGGAGUUCACGGCCGUGAACUCCCAUAGGGGUGGUUCAUGGGCCGUAAACUCCCAUAUGGUCCCUUUAAACCCCUCCAAUCCACUCAUACAACUUAGAUUUGGACCUAGUAUAAUUCCACGAUCAAGAUAAAGCCUUUAAACACCCUAGAAACCCCUCACCAUGAGUUUACGGUCGUAAACUCAUGGGGAGUUGUCCCAGGGCCGUAAACAGCAUAUGGAGAGUUUACUCUAGGAGUGUAAACUCCAUUCCUAAGCCAUACACACCCUUAGAUGUUACCCGGGACACCCCAAACACUUAACCAAAGUGUUUUCCGCUACUUAGGGUGCGUAUACUUGUUUAAUUAGUAUUAUAUAUACUAAUUGUAUGUGAACAUAUGUUAUCAUAUGUUAAAUAGGUCAUUGAGUGUGUUCGAGUCUUUACUUGACACCAAGCACCCAACCGGCACCUUUGUCGGAUCCACUUACACAAGGUGAGUUCAUACCCCUGAUUGAACCUUUCAAAUGCUUUUACAUGUUUUAUAGGGGGAAUACAAGUUAAACAUGCCAGUCAUCAUAGCAAUCACAUGUGAUUGAUAACCCGCAUGCAUAAAGAUUUACCACACUGUAAACUGUUUUACCGAGUAGGACGCUAUAAAUGGUUUUCUAAAAUGUUUUCUCUUGUUCAAAUCUUUUACUUAUAUUGUUUUAUCAGAAUUCAUUUUAAACUUGUUUAUAAAGGUUUUCCAAAGGAUUUCCAAAGGUUUUCCAACUUAUUUUACAAAAGAAUACCCUGUCGGGAUUUCUCAAGUAUAAAAGUUCUCUUUCAUGUUGUAUACUUUUACUUGUUAGUUACCGCUGCUUCGCUUUCACUUAGUUUAAACUCCUACUUGAUAACGCUUUCACUUCGUGAUGCGUUUAUACCUGUUAUUGCCUCUAUUUCGCUUACACUUGUAGUCGCUUAUACCUGUUAGACGCUCUUACUUCACCAGUUGUCGUUUCCACUUCGUGGUACACUUAUAUUUGGUACACUUAUACUUCACGAUUCGGUUAUUCCACACGAUUCAGUUAAUCCAUACGAUAUGUUUCCACUUGUUACACACUCCGUCGUAGUUAGAUGUAUGUCUAUGCUUGUAUAGGUACAUAUAAAUAAUGAUUGAAGGACUUAGGAAGGCUCGUCCGCCCUAUUUCCUUUUCUUCGUUGAGAUGUGGUCUGGUGGGAUCGGAUGGCCUUCCGAAGGUCGUUUGGUUCGUUAGUUAUAUAUUAUGUAUGCGAGCAUAGACAUAUAGGUUUACUCUAGUCAUUUCAGUUAUGAGUCCCUACCUCUAGUUCAACACUUAUAUUGGAAACCCACUACCGACUAGAAACCUACUACCCACUAUUUGGAAGUCACUACCCACUAUUUGGGAUGCAUCUUCGGGACACGGCCUUCUCCGUCGUCUAGUUGGUAACCAAAGUCUCCUGUAGGGAGAGUGGACAUUGUGUGUAUAGAUCUAUACGGGAUUGACACCCCCGCACCCAGACUACUAGCUACAGUCCCGGCCUACCAAGCCAACAGGUGACAAAUGUCAUAUUUUAUAGACGCUUGUAGGGCGUCUGGUACUCUAGUCAGUAUGGUUACGAGUAUCCCGGGUUACCUUAUAAUUCAUGGCUUUAAGGUAACGGUAUUUUACCAGCAAUUUACACUGUAUGUUGGAAACCCUCUUUCAGAGUCACACUGUUUGUAGACGUCGUUAGCUGUAUCUUUCAUUUGAUA
Molecule: long non-coding RNA, 9345 nt
Filed under: Lactuca sativa (garden lettuce)
Lineage: Eukaryota; Viridiplantae; Streptophyta; Magnoliopsida; Asterales; Asteraceae
Description: long non-coding RNA (LSAT_LNC001450)
Source: RNAcentral